CCACGGUCCAAGCGCCUCGAGGGUUGGGGGGGGCCUUGGCGCGGAAGGGAGGCUCCUUGCCCGCCCCGCGCUGUGCGUCUCUCCUUCGCCGCGCCCUCACCCUGGCCUCGCCCCCCGCGCUGUCCCGAUCGGAGUCCUGGAGCCUCUGAUGGAGCCGAGGUUUUGAUGUCCACUGGAACCUCGGGGUGGCGGUAGGGAAGGUGGCCCACCUGGUGGUUCCGCCUCGCGGGCGGCCGGGCCUGCUCCUUCCUAACACUGGGACCUGGGCCUGUUGGCCACAUCCCUCCCAACCAGGUCCGGUCCUGCUGACCAGAGGCCGGUGGAGCCCCAGAGGAGAGGGGUCAUGACUCCAGAGGCGGGGAAGGCCUGGCCUGGGGGCUGCGCCUUGGAGCGGGGCCAGGCCUCGGGUUUUGGUAAGGCCGUCUGCAGGAGGGGGUCCUGCUGAAGAGCGCGCAGCCCGCAGGCUUAGGCCCCUUUCCUCAGACCUAGCGGCACCCCAUAGUUGCCGGAUGACCGACCCCGGGCCAGACGGGGCUCCUGGAGGGGCGUGAAUGGAGCAGCCACGGGCACCCCUGCAGGCCUGCAGCACGUGGAGACACAGGAGCUGGGAGGACACCCCUGGGCCACAGGAGCAGCCCCCACCAAGAUGAAACAAGCAGAAACAGGCGAUUCGCAAACACACUGUAGCCUCAGGCUGGAGCAGUGUGGGAUUCCCAGCAUCCGGGACUGCUGAGUUGGCCUGAUGGGAGGAAGUGGGCAGUGGCUGGCCAGGUGGACAGGAAGAGAAUGGGGGAGAGCAGACAGCCUGGGUCAAGGGCCUGAGGAAGGAGCUCUUGGCAGCCCAGUGAAACCCCAGGGCAUGGGUGGUGGGUGGGGACGACAGGUCAGAUCACAGAAGGCCUAAGGCACAAGCAAAGGGGUCCCACUACAUACUGAACCCCUUACGGACGACAGAAGCUUUAGCCGGGGACUGCAAGGACCAGCAUAGACUGUGCAGCCUGAAGAUGUGAACAUUCCGUCCCCUGCCCCCAAACCUCCUGCCACCCGGCGCUCGAAACUCAUGGUGGACAGAUGAGUUCACCAGUGGCAGUCGGACAGAUGAGGCCAGAUGGCUCAGUGGCAGUGGGAGGCUGGAUCCCACUGACCAGGCCCUCCCUCAACCCCAGGGCCCUCCCAGGCCAAACAGGAACAAGGCGCCUACUGGGCUCGGCCAGCCCCUUGCUCUGGGCGAGGUGCAGGUCAGAAGUAGCCAUCACAAUCCCCAAAAGGUGGAAGACUCCCAAAGGCCUGUCUGCAGCUGAGUGGACAAGCAAGUGCAGUGGGUCCAUUUUUUUUUUUUUUUUUGAGACGGAAUCUCGUUCUGUCGCCCAGGCUGGAGUGCAGUGGCUCGAUCUCGGCUCACUGCAACCUCUGCCUCCUGGGUUCAUGCCAUUCUCCUGCCUCAGCCUCCCGAGCAGCUGAGACUACAGGCGCCCGCCACCACACCCGGCUAAAUUUUUGUAUUUUUUCUUUUUUUAGUAGAGAGGGUGUUUCACCGUGUUAGCCAGGAUGGUCUCGAUCUCCUGACCUCGUGAUCUGCCCGCCUUGGCCUCCCAAAGUGCUGGGAUUACAGAUGUGAGCCACCGCGCCCGGCCUCUUUUUUUUUUUUUUUUUUUUUUUUUUUUUUGAGAUGGAGUUUCGCUCUUUGCCCAGUCUGGAGUGCAAUGGCGCGAUCUUGGCUCACUGCAACCUCCACCUCCUGGGUUCAAGCGAUUCUCCUGCGUCAGCCUCCCGAGCAGCUGGGAUUACAGGCAUGUGCCAUCAUGCCGGCUAAUUUUGUAUUUUUAGUAGAGACGAGGUUUCUCCAUGCUGGUCAGGCUGGUCUUGAACUCCCGACCUCAGGUGAUCCGCCCACCUCAGCCUCCCAAAGUGUUGGGAUUACAGGCAUGAGCCACGGCACCCCCUGGCGGUGGGUCCAUUAUUAAGCCAUAAAAAGGAAUGAAGUUCUGGUCCCUUGACACCCGCUACAGCCUGGAUGAGCCUGGAGGCUUAUGCGCUGAGCAAAAUAAGCCAGAGACAAAAGGACAAACACUGUUGGAUUCCACUUCUGUGAGUCACCUUAGAGUAGUCACGGUCAUGAGGACAGAAAGUGGAGCAGGGGCUGGGGAGGGGAAUGAGGGAUUGGAGCUUAAUGGGGACAGAAUUCAGGAGCUUGAUUACACAACACAAAUGUACUCAACAGUACGGAACUGCACACUUUAAAAUGGGUAAAAUGGUAGAUGUUAUGAUGUAUAUCUUACAAUUAAAAAUAAAAAUUGUCAAGGCGCAGCGGCUCCCACCUGUAAUUUCAGCAGUUUGGGAGGCCAAGGCAGGGAGAUCACAAGGUCGGGAGUUCGAGACCAGCCUGGCCAACAUGGUGAAACCCCAUCUCUACUAAAAAUACAAAAAUUAGCUGGACGUGGUGGCGCACGCCUGCAGUCCUAGCUACUUGGGAGGCUGAGACAGGAGAACCGCUUGAACCCGGGAGGUGGAGGUUGCAGUGAGCUGAGAUCAGGCCACUGCACUCCAGCCUGGGUGACAGAGUGAGAGUCUGUCUCAUAAAAAUUAAUUAAUUAAUUACAUAAAAAUUAAGGCCGGGUGUGGCAGCUCCUGCCUGUAAUCUCAGCACUUUGGGAGGCUGAGGCAGGAUGAUCGCUUGACAUCAGGAGUUCAAGACCAGCCUGGCCAACAUGUUGAAACCCCAACUCCACUAAAACUACAAAAAUUAGCUGGGUGCAGCAGCUCAUGCAUGUAGUCUUAGCACUUUGGGAGGCUGUGGCAGGAGGAUUGCUUAAGCCCAGGAGGGUGAGGCUGCAGUGAGCUGUGAUUGCACCACUGCACUCCAACCAGGGCGACAGAAGAGACCCUGUCUCAAUAAAAAUUAAAAAAUAAAUAAAUAAAAUAUAAAAAUCGUAAAGGUUAAA
RNAcentral lists this long non-coding RNA (2942 nucleotides) under Homo sapiens (human). Its description in RNAcentral is "non-protein coding lnc-FBXL16-3:1". The stretch from base 2431 to 2578 matches the Rfam family "Metazoan signal recognition particle RNA". The record is from RNAcentral. Lineage: Eukaryota; Metazoa; Chordata; Mammalia; Primates; Hominidae.